This 1236-nucleotide long non-coding RNA is filed under the name Anser brachyrhynchus (Pink-footed goose). RNAcentral's name for it is "lncRNA (ENSABRG00000010767.1)". Lineage: Eukaryota; Metazoa; Chordata; Aves; Anseriformes; Anatidae. The record is from RNAcentral.
GUUUAAACAGAAAACUAAAAGCAAACCUGAUAAAUGUUUGUUCUGCAUUUUACAACUGACAUUAUUUUGGAGGUAUUUCUGUUAAAAAAUAGCAAUAUUAUACAACUGCAUUCGGGGUAGGAAUCUGCCCUGCAAAAUGUACCAGUGUUUAUGAAGGGCAUGUGGUGACCUUAACCCAAGGCAAGAGACUGCAGGUGCAAGGUGAGGAGGUGUAGAUGAAAGGGAAGUGAUGAAGGUGGUUCAGGUCCCCUAGCAGCUGGGGCUCUGUGUGAGGUUGGGUGUUCUGCUUAGACCUGUGGAGUAGCAUGCUGGCCACAGCCACUGCCCUGCAAGAUGGGACAAGAGCUGGAAGGGAGGCACCUGCCCUUAUAAUCAACACUCUGAGUAGAUGGAGAGAAGGUCUUCAUGUGUUCAACCUUCAUGCACUGCUGAUAUCCAGAUGGAUAAACUUCACUCUCCUGUGUUGCAGAGGCCUUUCCUCUUCCUCAAAGCUUUCCUUGUCUGCAAGAGCUGCCUUCGUGAUCAGGGCCUCCAAAUGUUAUUUGCAGGACUGAUAAGCUAAUGCAACAACCUUUUAAAGAAAGAUCAAACAUCCAGGGUGGCAUUCCCUUCACCUCAUGUAAAUGUAUAACCUGAAUGAAAACUGAGAGUCUCCAUUUACAUUUAUGGUAAAGAAGCAAACACUUCUUUGAUGUGGCUCACAGUAUUCUAAGCAAGACACCUGGGGAGAGAUGAGGCGCUUUAAAAGUCAUCUAAUGUAUUGCUUCAUCCCUACCUGUCUGAAGUGGUAAGUGUCCCAUUACAGUGCCUUUUCCCCCUUGUUUGUAGAAUACCAUGUGCUUUUCCAGGAGCGCUGCCUGAGCUGGAUCAAAUACUGAGAAGUCUGGGUGAAUCUGAACAAUUAUUUGCACAAAAAUAACCACUUUCAGAUCACUUUUUUUAGGAUCUGAAAGACUGCAACAAAGGAAACUAUUCUAGUGGUGAUUAGCAGUAGGUGUUUUUGCUUUUGGAAUAUGUAUGAAAAGGAUGACAUGGAAAAAAGGAUGAUGUCAUGGAUGACAUUCAAAUCGAUUAAAAAGAAAUGAUGGUGUUACUCCUAUGGAAACAGCAGAACAAAUAUAUAAUGAUCAAUUCAAACAUCCAUAAAAACUUUAUUUUUGAGUUAACGUGAUUUUAAGAUCUCUUUCUGUGAAAGCAUUCGGUAAAAUAAAGAUUGGCAUCUUCAUGAGAAUUACA